UACGGGGGGGGCAAGCGUUGUUCGGAAUUACUGGGCGUAAAGGGCUCGUAGGCGGCCCACUAAGUCAGACGUGAAAUCCCCAGGCUCAACCUGGGAACUGCGUCUGAUACUGGAUGGCUUGAAUCCGGGAGAGGGAUGCAGAAUUCCAGGUGUAGCGGUGAAAUGCGUAGAUAUCUGGAGGAACACCUGAGGCGAAGGCGGGCUACUGGGCUGAUACUGACGCUGAGGCGCGAAAGCUAGGGGAGCAAACGGG
This 253-nucleotide ribosomal RNA is filed under the name uncultured bacterium. Its description in RNAcentral is "partial 16S ribosomal RNA". It matches the Rfam family "Bacterial small subunit ribosomal RNA", at positions 524 to 776 of the family's 1533-position model. The record is from RNAcentral.